CCUACGGGAGGCAGCAGUGAGGAAUAUUGGUCAAUGGGCGCUAGUCUGAACCAGCCAAGUCGCGUGAAGGAUGACUGCCCUAUGGGUUGUAAACUUCUUUUAUCUGGGAAUAAAGUGCAGUAUGUAAACUGCUUUGCAUGUACCUUAUGAAUAAGGAUCGGCUAACUCCGUGCCAGCAGCCGCGGUAAUACGGGGGAUCCGAGCGUUAUCCGGAUUUCUUGGGUUUAAAGGGAGCGUAGGCGGGUUGUUAAGUCAGUUGUGAAAGUGUGCGGCUCAACCGUAAAAUUGCAGUUGAUACUGGAAUCCUUGAGUGCAGUAGAGGUAGGCGGAAUUCGUGGUGUAGCGGUGAAAUGCUUAGAUAUCACGAAGAACUCCGAUUGCGAAGGCAGCCUGCCGGACUGUAACUGACGCUGAUGCUCGAAAGUGUGGGUAUCAAACAGGAUUAGAUACCCCAGUAGUC
This 460-nucleotide ribosomal RNA is filed under the name uncultured bacterium. RNAcentral's name for it is "partial 16S ribosomal RNA". It matches the Rfam family "Bacterial small subunit ribosomal RNA", at positions 338 to 795 of the family's 1533-position model. The record is from RNAcentral.